ACACCAUAAUAUUCAAAAUUAUAUUUCGAGAAAAUUAUUCUUUAUUCAUAAAAGUUGGGGUCUUACAAUGUGUCUUGGUCAAUUCGCAAGUAACUUAUUGUCACACUGUCCACUACAGAAGCAGAAUUUGUUGCAGCAGCUUCUUGCACUUGCUAGGCUGUAUGGUUACGAAGGAUGUUGGAGCGGCUUGAUCAAGCUCAAAGUGACACUGAUUUAUUGCGACAAUAGCUCAACAAUCAAGCUUUC
Molecule: long non-coding RNA, 246 nt
Filed under: Panax ginseng (ginseng)
Lineage: Eukaryota; Viridiplantae; Streptophyta; Magnoliopsida; Apiales; Araliaceae
Description: long non-coding RNA (PGIN_LNC003664)
Source: RNAcentral